RNAcentral lists this ribosomal RNA (249 nucleotides) under uncultured bacterium. RNAcentral's name for it is "partial 16S ribosomal RNA". It matches the Rfam family "Bacterial small subunit ribosomal RNA", at positions 56 to 334 of the family's 1533-position model. The record is from RNAcentral.
UGCAAGUCAAGGGGGCCAGCAAUGGCAACCGGCAGACGAGGUAGUAAUAAAGAAGUACGCACCCUGGAGUCGGGCAUAGCUAUCCGAAAGGAUAGGUAAUUCCCGAUAGUCCCGUAAGGGUAAAGUUUUUCGCUCUGGGAGCGGCUUCUUCGGUAUCAGCUAGUUGGUAAGGUAACGGCUUACCAAGGCUAUGACGCCUAGGGGACCUGAGAGGGUGACCCCCACCGAUGGAACUGAGACACGGUCCAU